CUACGGGGGGCUGCAGUGGGGAAUAUUGGACAAUGGGGGAAACCCUGAUCCAGCAAUGCCGCGUGUGUGAAGGAGGCCUGCGGGUUGUAAAGCACUUUCGGUUGGGAGGACUGCUUCUAGCACUAAUAUUGUUGGAAGUUGACGUUACCUUCAGAAGAAGCACCGGCUAACUCCGUGCCAGCAGCCGCGGUAAUACGAAGGGUGCAAGCGUUAAUCGGAAUUACUGGGCGUAAAGCGCGCGUAGGCGGCUAGAUCAGUCGGGUGUGAAAGCCCCGGGCUUAACCUGGGAACUGCAUCCGAUACUGUCUAGCUUGAGUACAGGAGAGGAGAGUGGAAUUCCACAUGUAGCGGUGAAAUGCGUAGAUAUGUGGAGGAACACCAAUGGCGAAGGCAGCUCUCUGGCCUGAUACUGACGCUGAGGUGCGAAAGCGUGGGGAGCAAACAGGAUUAGAUACCCGGGUAGUC
RNAcentral lists this ribosomal RNA (465 nucleotides) under uncultured bacterium. Its description in RNAcentral is "partial 16S ribosomal RNA". It matches the Rfam family "Bacterial small subunit ribosomal RNA", at positions 339 to 795 of the family's 1533-position model. The record is from RNAcentral.